CCUACGGGAGGCAGCAGUGGGGAAUAUUGGACAAUGGGGGGAACCCUGAUCCAGCGACGCCGCGUGAGUGAAGAAGUAUUUCGGUAUGUAAAGCUCUAUCAGCAGGGAAGAAAGAAAUGACGGUACCUGACUAAGAAGCCCCGGCUAACUACGUGCCAGCAGCCGCGGUAAGACGUAGGGGGCAAGCGUUAUCCGGAUUUACUGGGUGUAAAGGGAGCGUAGACGGCGAUGCAAGUCUGAAGUGAAAGGCGGGGGCCCAACCCCCGGACUGCUUUGGAAACUGUAUGGCUGGAGUGCAGGAGAGGUAAGUGGAAUUCCUAGUGUAGCGGUGAAAUGCGUAGAUAUUAGGAGGAACACCCGUGGCGAAGGCGGCUUACUGGACUGUAACUGACGUUGAGGCUCGAAAGCGUGGGGAGCAAACAGGAUUAGAUACCCGAGUAGUC
RNAcentral lists this ribosomal RNA (443 nucleotides) under uncultured bacterium. RNAcentral describes it as "partial 16S ribosomal RNA". It matches the Rfam family "Bacterial small subunit ribosomal RNA", at positions 338 to 795 of the family's 1533-position model. The record is from RNAcentral.